GGUUGCCAAGAAAAGCCUCUAAGCAUAACUUCCCAGCGCUCGUACCGCAAACCGACACUGGUAGAUGGGUAGAGUAUACCAAGGCGAACGGGAGAACUCUCGUUAAGGAAUUAGGCAACAUGACCCCGUAACUUCGGGAGAAGGGGUACCCUCCUUAGUGUUAAAGCUUCGGAGGGUCGCAGUGAAAUGGCUCUGGUGACUGGUUAACAAAACCACAGGUCUCUGCUAAGCCGUAAGGCGAUGUAUAGGGGCUGACGCGUGCCCAGUGCCGGAAGGUUAAAGGGAGAGGUUAGCGCAAGCGAAGCUUUGAACUGAAGCCCCGGUGAACGGCGGCCGUAACUAUAACGGUCCUAAGGUAGCGAAAUUCCUUGUCGGGUAAGUUCCGACCCGCACGAACCGCGUAACAAUUAGAGCACUGUCUCGACGAGAGACCCGGUGAAAUUGAAAUGGCUGUGAAGAUGCGGCCUACCCGCAGCAGGACAAAAAGACCCCGUGGAGCUUUACUGCAGUUUGGCAUUGUAUUUGGAUAUGAUCUGUGUAGGAUAGGUGGGAGGCUUUGAAGCUGGCGCGCUAGCGUCGGUGGAGCCAAUGGUGAAAUACCACCCUGAUCAUGUUUAGAUCCUAACCCCAUUCCGUAAUCCGGAUGGGGGACCGUGCCAGAUGGGCAGUUUGACUGGGGCGGUCGCCUCCCAAAAGGUAACGGAGGCGCCCAAAGGUUCCCUCAGGUGGAAUGGAAACCCACCAUAGAGUGUAAAGGCAUAAGGGAGCUUGACUGUAAGGCCAACGCGCCGAACAGAGACGAAAGUCGGGCUUAGUGAUCCCACAAUACCGAGUGGAAGGGUUGUGGCUUACCGGAUAAAAGCUACCCCGGGGAUAAUAGGCUGGUGAGAUCCAAGAGUCCAUAUCGACGAUCUCGCUCGGCACCUCGAUGUCGGCUCAUCGCAUCCUGGGGCUGGACAAGGUCCCAAGGGUCGGGCUUUCGCCCGUUAAAGCGGUACGCGAGCUGGGUUCAGACCGUCGUGAGACAGGUCGGUCUCUAUCCGCUGUGGGCGUAAGGGAUUUGAAGGGAGCUGCUCCUAGUACGAGAGGACCGGAGUGGACAGACCUCUAGUGUGCCAGUUGUUCCGCCAGGAGCAUCGCUGGGUAGCCAUGUCUGGCAGAGAUAACCGCUGAAAGCAUCUAAGUGGGAAACUCGCCCUAAGAUUAGAUCCCUGUGACCCGUAAGGGUGUAAGACCCCAGGUAGACUACCUGGUAUAUAGGCAGCAUGUGUAAGCGCAGUAAUGUGUUAAGCUAAGCUGUACUAAUGGUCGAGGGCUUCC
Molecule: ribosomal RNA, 1320 nt
Filed under: metagenome
Description: bacterial LSU rRNA
Rfam family: Bacterial large subunit ribosomal RNA
Source: RNAcentral